Gambusia affinis (western mosquitofish) is the source of this 795-nucleotide long non-coding RNA. RefSeq lists it as uncharacterized. Lineage: Eukaryota; Metazoa; Chordata; Actinopteri; Cyprinodontiformes; Poeciliidae. The record is from RefSeq and is a predicted model, not a curated record. The transcript has 4 exons.
GAACCCAGAUCACUUCAAGGACACCCACAAAGAGACCAUACCCCGGAAACCACCGUAUUACACCCCUGGCGGAAGUCUAUCUUCAUCUCAAAAUACAGACAACCCUGGUUGCCAACCCCAAGGACAAAAACAAGGUGUUUUUGCAUAGCUGAAUGGUUGCCAUGGAGAUUAAGGGAUUCCAAACAUGAAUUAAAGAAUCAAAGCAAAACUCCAGACUCUGCCUCAGACUCCAGAGAUGUAACAACUGGUCCUGUCCUCUCUGGCUCAGCACAGCACGGUGGGAUUAAAGUUGCAGCAUUAGAUUCUGCUGACUAAUCAAUGAGGAACCGCGGAGGCUUCUUCCUUCUCCAGGAAGGGAAAAGGUGAUGGUGUUCAGGCCUUGGUGUUUCAACACCUCUUCCUGGGACAAGCCUGGGAGUCGGCUUCCGCUCUCUUUCAUUCAGUUACAUUAUUCCAGAAAGUCUGGAGUAAGAGCAUUUAACUCUUAAUCAUAUCUACUACAAAAUAUCACAGAAUAACACUCAACUGAUCACUGGUGUCAGGACACCUCAUCUACAUGUACAGCCUUGUUUUGGUCCCCAGCGGAAAAAUGCACACAAGAGCCAUCCAGCCAAGUUCAAAACAUUCCACAAAAUGAGGUUCUGGUGGAAAAAAGUUCGAGAACCUACAGUCAAAGUAGAACUUUUACAAGUCCUCUGUUUCUAGAAGCAAAGCUGAUACACUCACAGCUCCCUCUAUAACACACACUGAGGUCUACUGAACCUCAGUGUCAAUCUGUUCCUCAUGAACUAAGGC